UCCGGAUUUACUGGGUGUAAAGGGAGCGUAGACGGUGAUGCAAGUCUGAAGUGAAAGGCGGGGGCUCAACCCCCGGACUGCUUUGGAAACUGUAUGACUGGAGUGCAGGAGAGGUAAGUGGAAUUCCUAGUGUAGCGGUGAAAUGCGUAGAUAUUAGGAGGAACACCAGUGGCGAAGGCGGCUUACUGGACUGUAACUGACGUUGAGGCUCGAAAGCGUGGGGAGCAAACAGGA
Molecule: ribosomal RNA, 234 nt
Filed under: Salmonella enterica subsp. enterica
Lineage: Bacteria; Pseudomonadati; Pseudomonadota; Gammaproteobacteria; Enterobacterales; Enterobacteriaceae
Description: partial 16S ribosomal RNA
Rfam family: Bacterial small subunit ribosomal RNA
Source: RNAcentral